This 250-nucleotide ribosomal RNA is filed under the name uncultured bacterium. Its description in RNAcentral is "partial 16S ribosomal RNA". It matches the Rfam family "Bacterial small subunit ribosomal RNA", at positions 524 to 773 of the family's 1533-position model. The record is from RNAcentral.
UACGUAUGGGGCGAGCGUUGUUCGGAAUCAUUGGGCGUAAAGGGCGUGUAGGCGGCUUGGCAAGCUUGGUGUGAAAGGUCACGGCUUAACCGUGAAUGUGCGCUGAGAACUGCCAGGCUGGAGUUUUGGGGGGGAAGCUGGAAUUCCUGGUGUAGGGGUGAAAUCUGUAGAUAUCAGGAAGAACACCGAUGGCGAAGGCAAGCUUCUAUCCAAAGACUGACGCUGAGGCGCGAAAGUGUGGGGAGCGAAC